This 29-nucleotide non-coding RNA is filed under the name Bombyx mori (domestic silkworm). The record is from RNAcentral. Lineage: Eukaryota; Metazoa; Arthropoda; Insecta; Lepidoptera; Bombycidae.
UCAAUUCUGAAUGAAAGCUGGUGGCUUGC